Long non-coding RNA from Manis pentadactyla (Chinese pangolin), 684 nucleotides. RefSeq lists it as uncharacterized. NCBI's taxonomy places the organism in Eukaryota, Metazoa, Chordata, Mammalia, Pholidota, Manidae. The transcript is spliced from 3 exons. The record is from RefSeq and is a predicted model, not a curated record.
CUGUCUUCGCCGGCUGAAAGAAAUCAGAAGAGGAUUUUCCCUUUUACAACAAAAGCAUCAGCCUAUCAGAAGCUGGGGGAUAUACCCUUUGCUUUACACCAUUUCAAUUUACAAAAGGCUUCAUAGGAACUCUCCACUUUUGUUUGGAUAUCAGGGGGAACCUGUAAUUCUAUUCUUCUUGAUAAAGCUGGCGCAUGAUCAGGUGUGACCGGGCUAAUUCGGGCCACUGAGGGGAUUGCUCAGCAGUUCUGGGAAGUUUCCCUUCUCUCGCUGGAUUUGAACAGGGAAUCAUGGUGGCCUAAUCACCAGUGAGGGGCAUCUGUUGGCCACAAGACGAAACAUCUUGAAUGACAUUAACCUUAAAAGCAGCAGAGAAGCUUCCCCUCCACCGGGCCGAGCAUCGAGCCAGGACCCUCGCUCCUUCAUGCUCUUUGGAGGGCCCGAGAGCUGGCCACCCUGUCCAGUCUUUGGGACAACGACCGUGUAGAGGCCCCAGUGAGCCUGCCUCCUUCUUCAAGCCAGCUCCACCCACAGGCAUUUUCCUGGGGAAGACGGCGGCCACCGCGCCCUCGGGCCAGGUGCAGAGACGAAUCCUGUAUGGCAUCUACACGAGGUGCUGGAGCCCCCGGACAUAGCGAGCGCCACGUGUGGAUCCACCCGGAGAUGUGACCCAGAGGAGGGGCA